AUUGAACGCUGGCGGCAGGCCUAACACAUGCAAGUCGAGCGGAGCGGCGGACGGGUGAGUAAUGCCUAGGAAGAUGCCUGGUAGAGGGGGAUAACGGCCGGAAACGGGCGCUAAUACCGCAUACUAUCAGAUGAGUCUGGGUCGGAUUAGCUAGUUGGUGGGGUAAAGGCCAUCCAAGUCGACGAUCAGUAACUGGUCUGAGAGGAUGAACAGUCACACUGGAACUGAUACACGGUCCAGACUCCUACGUGAGGCAGCAUUGGGUAAUAUUGGACAAUGGGCGAAAGCCUGAUUCAGCCAUGCCGCGUGUGUGAAGAAGGUCUUCGGAUUGUAAAGCACUUUAAGUUGGGAGGCGUUACCAACAGAAUAAGCACCGGCUAACUUCGUGCCAGCAGCCGCGGUAAUAC
This 407-nucleotide ribosomal RNA is filed under the name uncultured bacterium. RNAcentral describes it as "partial 16S ribosomal RNA". It matches the Rfam family "Bacterial small subunit ribosomal RNA", at positions 30 to 526 of the family's 1533-position model. The record is from RNAcentral.